AGGAAGAGAAUUUUAUGCAAUUCUUAAGUUGUAUUACCUAUUAUUAAUAUUAUUUUUUUUUUAAAUUUAAAUUUUCAAUUUUCGAUCAAUCACUUUCUAAUACACAGAAUUUAAACAUAUAAAUUUCAAACAAAUGACACCUUGUCGAGUAUCUGUAUCCUAGAUUUGAAGCAGUUCGGGGAAUACGUGAGUUUUAAUACUACAUGUGUCUUAUUUUUCUUUUCAUAAACAAGAAUUGGACCAAAGUGCUAUUGCUCAAAUCAUUAAUAUCGGAGACGAUUUCAAGUACAACAAUUUUGUUUCGUUAUUGGUGUAUUGGGAAAGGCUAUUUUACGAUAUUCUUUGCGAUUUAGUUACUU
Molecule: non-coding RNA, 359 nt
Organism: Cinara cedri
Lineage: Eukaryota; Metazoa; Arthropoda; Insecta; Hemiptera; Aphididae
Source: the annotation of a GenBank genome assembly